RNAcentral lists this ribosomal RNA (460 nucleotides) under uncultured bacterium. Its description in RNAcentral is "partial 16S ribosomal RNA". It matches the Rfam family "Bacterial small subunit ribosomal RNA", at positions 338 to 795 of the family's 1533-position model. The record is from RNAcentral.
CCUACGGGGGGCAGCAGUGAGGAAUAUUGGUCAAUGGGCGAGAGCCUGAACCAGCCAAGUCGCGUGAAGGAUGACGGCCCUACGGGUUGUAAACUUCUUUUGUCAGGGAGCAAUUGAGUCCACGUGUGGGCUUAGCGAGAGUACCUGAAGAAAAAGCAUCGACUAACUCCGUGCCAGCAGCCGCGGUAAUACGGAGGAUGCGAGCGUUAUCCGGCUUGAUUGGGUUUAAAGGGUGCGUAGGCGGAAUAUCAAGUCAGCGGUAAAAAUUCGGGGCUCAACCCCGUCGUGCCGUUGAAACUGAUGUUCUUGAGUGGGCGAGAAGUAUGCGGAAUGCGUGGUGUAGCGGUGAAAUGCAUAGAUAUCACGCAGAACUCCGAUUGCGAAGGCAGCAUACCGGAGCCCAACUGACGCUGAAGCACGAAAGCGGGGGUAGCGAACAGGAUUAGAUACCCCUGUAGUC